GGGUUGUGAGGUUAAGCGACUAAGCGUACACGGUGGAUGCCCUGGCAGUCAGAGGCGAUGAAGGACGUGCUAAUCUGCGAUAAGCGCCGGUAAGGUGAUAUGAACCGUUAUAACCGGCGAUUUCCGAAUGGGGAAACCCAGUGUGAUUCGUCACACUAUCAUUAACUGAAUCCAUAGGUUAAUGAGGCGAACCGGGGGAACUGAAACAUCUAAGUACCCCGAGGAAAAGAAAUCAACCGAGAUUCCCCCAGUAGCGGCGAGCGAACGGGGAGGAGCCCAGAGCCUGAAUCAGCAUGUGUGUUAGUGGAAGCGUCUGGAAAGGCGCGCGAUACAGGGUGACAGCCCCGUACACAAAAGCGCAUGUGCUGUGAGCUCGAUGAGUAGGGCGGGACACGUGGUAUCCUGUCUGAAUAUGGGGGGACCAUCCUCCAAGGCUAAAUACUCCUGACUGACCGAUAGUGAACCAGUACCGUGAGGGAAAGGCGAAAAGAACCCCGGCGAGGGGAGUGAAAAAGAACCUGAAACCGUGUACGUACAAGCAGUGGGAGCACAGGUUUACCUGUGUGACUGCGUACCUUUUGUAUAAUGGGUCAGCGACUUAUAUUCUGUAGCAAGGUUAACCGUAUAGGGGAGCCGUAGGGAAACCGAGUCUUAACCGGGCGUUAAG
This 667-nucleotide ribosomal RNA is filed under the name Salmonella enterica subsp. enterica serovar Newport. RNAcentral describes it as "partial 23S ribosomal RNA". It matches the Rfam family "Bacterial large subunit ribosomal RNA", at positions 1 to 699 of the family's 2925-position model. The record is from RNAcentral. Lineage: Bacteria; Pseudomonadati; Pseudomonadota; Gammaproteobacteria; Enterobacterales; Enterobacteriaceae.